GCCGCGGUAUAUUGACCGUACAAAGGUAGCAUAAUCAUUAGUUUAUUAAUUGUGAACUUGUAUGAAUGAUUGGACGAGAUAUAUCUGUUUCUUUUUUAGUUAAUGAAUUUUAUUUAUCUUUGAUAAAGAGGAUAUGUUUAUGAAAGACGAGAAGACCCUGUAGAGUUUUAUUAAAUGGCUUCGUUAGGUGUUUUUUUAGUUAUUAAUUUGGUUGGGGUAAUUUAAAGUAUUAAAUGUUUUAUUUGUUAUUAUUGUUAGUUAAGUAUAAUGAGCUAAAAAUUAAUUGGUUGAUUAAAUUACCUCAGGGAUAACAGCAUAAUUUGAUUAAGGAGUUCUUAUCUAUAAUUUAGUUUGUGACCUC
This 361-nucleotide ribosomal RNA is filed under the name Brazilozoros huxleyi. RNAcentral describes it as "partial 16S ribosomal RNA". The record is from RNAcentral. Lineage: Eukaryota; Metazoa; Arthropoda; Insecta; Zoraptera; Spiralizoridae.